AUGUUUUUGUUACUCUUAACAUUAGAUGUAGAGAAGCUUAGGCAGAAGUCAAUUUUUAUGUUUUCUCAAUGUGAAUCAGGUGCACUCGCCGGUCCCUCACCAGCCUCCGCGACCAACCAUCCACCGAUCAAUGGGGCGCCUCUAGGCAUCUGCGCCGCCUUCUGGAGCAAUGCCCUUCUCUGCAAGCUGCAGUCACUGGUCUUGCCCUGCUCGAGGAGGAGGAGUAGGAGGGCCGCACCUAGGCACCAUGGUAAGACGAUCCAGUAUGCCAAACCUGAACUUCACUUUUUUCUUGGUAUUCCUUCUCGUUCAACUGCUUCCAUUAUGAAACAAAGCAUCUGA
Molecule: ribosomal RNA, 342 nt
Filed under: Triticum aestivum (bread wheat)
Lineage: Eukaryota; Viridiplantae; Streptophyta; Magnoliopsida; Poales; Poaceae
Description: partial small subunit ribosomal RNA
Source: RNAcentral